Molecule: long non-coding RNA, 667 nt
Organism: Oncorhynchus keta (chum salmon)
Lineage: Eukaryota; Metazoa; Chordata; Actinopteri; Salmoniformes; Salmonidae
Exons: 3
Source: RefSeq, a predicted model, not a curated record
GGUAAAAGAUAUAAUUAAGAAGAAAGGCAACACCGCCACAGUGAUAAAGCAAAGAGAAAAAGCGUGGCAAAGUAUUGCAGACCGCCUGAAUGCAUUAAACAUGAACGGGCCAAAACGGACAUGGCAGCAGGUCAAAAUCAAAUACAAGAACAUUCUGCAGAAUGGUAUGGUCCCUGACUAAUAUUUAACAAAGCACAAGCAUAUAUUGUACCCAGAAGGUGCCUGCUCACACAUUGUCUGUACUGUUUUAGCAGUGAAAAAGAAUACCCACAGACAAGGCACGGGUGGUGGGUCACCAAAGGCUGACCUUACCCCAGCAGAGGACAUGGCCUUGGAGCUAAAUAAAGGCAGGCCCGUCUUAGAGGGGAUCCCUGGGGGAAAGAGACGAGCAUAGGUUCCUCCCAAGAUGCCACCCGCUUCAUUCAAGUGUCUGGCAGCACUGUGUUCCUGUUAGAGCCACCAGCACAAGCACCAGACGAUGCUGAUCCAGUGAGUACUCCAUCAAAGGCAUACUGUAGGCCUGGCAUGUCUUGUCUACUAGCUUCAAUAUGAAUCCGAUUAAAUGUGAUAGGGUGAAGGCCCCAGUGCAGCAGCAACAGCACAUGAUGGAGACGAUGAUGAUGAUGAGGAGGAGACCAUCUCUCUGGAUUCCAGAAGGCAUGAGGUA